UAUUCUACCCUACGGGGAAGGAUGAGAAGCUUCGACUAAGGUUCGACUCGAGCGCCAGCGAGAGAACGUUGCCGCAGGCAACGGCCCGAAGGGCGAGGAGCGAUAGCGACGAGUUAUCCUUC
Molecule: small RNA, 122 nt
Filed under: Klebsiella variicola
Lineage: Bacteria; Pseudomonadati; Pseudomonadota; Gammaproteobacteria; Enterobacterales; Enterobacteriaceae
Description: partial RtT sRNA
Rfam family: RtT RNA
About the family: This family represents a bacterial cis-regulatory element known as RtT RNA. The exact function of RtT is unknown although it is thought that it may be involved in changing the cellular response in relation to amino acid starvation.
Source: RNAcentral